Molecule: ribosomal RNA, 274 nt
Filed under: uncultured bacterium
Lineage: Bacteria
Description: partial 16S ribosomal RNA
Rfam family: Bacterial small subunit ribosomal RNA
Source: RNAcentral
AUACGGAGGGUGCAAGCGUUAUUCGGAAUCACUGGGCGGAAAGGACGCGUAGGCGGGUUGGCAAGUCAGAUGUGAAAUCCUACAGCUUAACUGUAGAACUGCAUUUGAAACUGCUAACCUAGAGUAUGUGAGGGGGAGAUGGAAUUAGUGGUGUAGGGGUAAAAUCCGUAGAUAUCACUAGGAAUACCGAAAGCGAAGGCGAUCUCCUGGAACAUAACUGACGCUAAGGCGUGAAAGCGUGGGGAGCAAACAGAAUUAGAUACCCUAGUAGUCC